AAAAUUAGAAAAUAAUAUAAUAUCAUUGUCUGACAAAUAUAUUAUAAUUCUAUUCUAUGUCUUUCACAAUGAAUUAAUUAAUAACCAUUGCAAAUACUGGGUAGAAGGUAGCUUUAAUUAAGUCUCUUUACCCAGCAUUAAUCAUGUAGCAGAUUGUUGACAAUUGAAAUUUAAACUGAAGGGGUAAGCCUUUGAUGGCUAUAAUGCUGAAAAAGGGGCAAUCUUAUAAGGUAGCGGUCGUCGGUCGCAGGUAGCUUCAAAGAGAAGGUCACCAUGUCUCUGUAUUUGAAAAGGCCAACAAAGUGGGCGCCCCGGUACAUGGUUUUAUAAUUCACAGUUGGAAUCCGACCUAUUAGGCCUUGACCCGAAUCGGGAAAUAGUUCAUAGUAGCCUUUACAGAUCCCUUCGAACUAUUAUGGGCUUCAUGGAUUAUCCAUUUGUGAAGAAAGAAGGUGGGGAUCCGAGGUCUUUUCCGGGUCAUGAAGAGGUGCUCAGGUUUCUUGAGGAUUUUGCAAGGGACUUUGGGUUUUUGGAGUUGAUUCGAUUUGGGCAUGAAGUGGUUCGCGUGGAGCGAGUUGAUGAGACGAAUCACGAGUGGGUCGUUGAGUUUAGGACUCGAGAGACCGAGCCAAGAUGGGAGGAGGUGUUUGAGGCUGUAGUUAUUUGUAAUGGUAAAUACACAGAGCCCAGAAUUGCAGAAUUUUCAGUUAUUUCAUUCAUGCCAAAAAAAUUCUUUCGCAUUGUAGUAGUUUGUCACCGCCAUAACUACUUUUGCAAAUGCCAUCUUAAAGAUUUUUCAUCAACUGCAUUGCACUAUAACAGAUAACUCGAUUUCUGUUUACUUGUAUAAUAAUCUCUCUAUUGGGUAGUAACUUGUCAUGUUUUAGGCAGAGACAUUUGGCCAGGAUUGCAAAUGCAUAGCCAUAAUUACAGAACCCUAGAACAAUUUGAAAAUAAGGUGGUACUGCUCAUCGGAAAUUCAGCAAGUGCCCAUGACAUUCUAAAACAGAUCGCUUCUAUUGCGAAACAAGUUCAUCAGGACCUAAUCUCCAGUUGAAAAGACUGGAAAAUCAUGAUAACGUUUGGCAACUUUCAAUGGUUUUUUAAUUAUUUUAUCAUUUAAUUAAGUUGCACUUUAGACUCGUCAAUUUUUUCUCUGUAAUAAAUUGUGAUUUUUUUUUACAGAUUGAUUGUACACAUAAAGAUGGUAAGGUGUUAUUUCAAAGUGGAUCAAUUGUCAACGCAAAUGUUAUUCUUCAUUGCACUGGGUAUUUAUUAAGAGAUAUAAUUUAAUUUUUUUAAAUAAUUUGUCCCUCUAAAGGGGAAAUAAUUCUAUACAAA
Molecule: long non-coding RNA, 1341 nt
Organism: Gossypium arboreum
Lineage: Eukaryota; Viridiplantae; Streptophyta; Magnoliopsida; Malvales; Malvaceae
Exons: 2
Source: RefSeq, a predicted model, not a curated record